Molecule: non-coding RNA, 71 nt
Organism: Parelaphostrongylus tenuis
Lineage: Eukaryota; Metazoa; Nematoda; Chromadorea; Rhabditida; Metastrongylidae
Source: the annotation of a GenBank genome assembly
GCUUCAAUAGUGUAGUGGUUAGCACGCUCCCUGGAAAGGGUGAAACGCGAGUUCAACUCACGCCUGAGGUU